RNAcentral lists this ribosomal RNA (498 nucleotides) under uncultured bacterium. RNAcentral's name for it is "partial 16S ribosomal RNA". It matches the Rfam family "Bacterial small subunit ribosomal RNA", at positions 28 to 507 of the family's 1533-position model. The record is from RNAcentral.
GACGAACGCUGGCGGCGUGCCUAAUACAUGCAAGUCGAACGAGAGCAACCGGUGCUUGCACUGGUCAAUCUAGUGGCGAACGGGUGAGUAACACGUGGGUAACCUGCCCAUCAGAGGGGGAUAACAUCCGGAAACGGAUGCUAAAACCGCAUAGGUCUUCGAACCGCAUGGUUUGAAGAGGAAAAGAGGCGCAAGCUUCUGCUGGUGGAUGGACCCGCGGUGCAUUAGCUAGUUGGUGAGGUAACGGCUCACCAAGGCCGUGAUGCAUAGCCGACCUGAGAGGGUGAUCGGCCACAUUGGGACUGAGACACGGCCCAAACUCCUACGGGAGGCAGCAGUAGGGAAUCUUCCGCAAUGGACGCAAGUCUGACGGAGCAACGCCGCGUGAGUGAAGAAGGUUUUCGGAUCGUAAAACUCUGUUGCUAGAGAAGAACAAGUGCUAGAGUAACUGUUAGCGCCUUGACGGUAUCUAACCAGAAAGCCACGGCUAACUACGUG